Long non-coding RNA from Gastrolobium bilobum, 983 nucleotides. RefSeq lists it as uncharacterized. The transcript has 3 exons. Lineage: Eukaryota; Viridiplantae; Streptophyta; Magnoliopsida; Fabales; Fabaceae. The record is from RefSeq and is a predicted model, not a curated record.
GAGUAGUAUUACAAAUCUGAGUUAGAUACACUUGGUCAGAAUGUUGGGCAAACCUUGCUGUCUUCUCCUUCCUCAUAGGCGCAAAGAGAAGAAGGCCAACCCGAAGACUGAAUACUUUCCCGUUAGCUUUCUUCUUCCCUUAGACGCUGAAGUGAGAGUCUCCAAACUGAUUGCUCACUCCAUGGAUUAGAAGCAAACCAAAUCUCUCUUAUUCCUUGUGACCGUGAGCUCUUUUGAGAGUAACACAAAAGAAAACCUCCGAGACUUUACAUCACUCUCAUCCCUUGCAGAAGCCUUGAACUUCAAAGGAAAGGGCAUUACUCUAGCAAGGAGUUGAGGUACUGCCUCUCCGUACAUGCACCUCACCAUUUCUCUCUGUCCCUCCAUGGAACUUCCCCUCGCAUGCAGCCGAAGCCAGAACUAUAGGAGCGCUGAGAGAGGGCAGAAGCUGCUACAUCUUUUGGUUGCUGCCCCGUGACCAUUUAAGAACCUUUGGUCACAUGUAAUAAGGUGCACGUAAUUCUUAUUGAGUGGGCUGAAUUUUGGUGCUGUUGAUUAUUGCAUGGACAUAAGGAGGACGUAAAAGCUUUUGAGGAUUUGGAUAUUUGCUGUUGGCUUCUACUGUUUUGGGCAUGCUGCUAUUGAUGUGAUAUUUUAUGGAUGACUGUAUGAAAUUGAGAAGCUUUUAUUACUGUGAACUAUGAUUUUAUUAUUGCAUUACGAUUUUAUGACCAGCAAGUAUUUUGGAAACAGAUGUUGAAAUUUGCGAAAAGGAUUUUGACAUGUUAUCUAAAUGCUGAGUUUUGAAAAGUCUUUGCGAGCACUUUGUAAGUUGUCGUAUUGGGGCUAUGGACCUCCGAUUUUCUUAUAAACCUUGCAAAGAAAUUCUGAAAGAUCGAUUUAUUAUGAAUUUUACCAGCCAGGACAUUUGUGAUAUUUCCACUAUUUUCUCUCUUAUUUUGCGAGUUAUGUUUCGAGGGGCA